RNAcentral lists this long non-coding RNA (663 nucleotides) under Mus musculus (house mouse). RNAcentral describes it as "long non-coding RNA chrX:126299994-126300657". The record is from RNAcentral. Lineage: Eukaryota; Metazoa; Chordata; Mammalia; Rodentia; Muridae.
CCCUACCACAAUGCGUCUGUGGGCCAACAUAGAAUCCAUGGCUUCACCUGCUUCUGUAUUCCUGGAUACCAAGGUAGGCAAUGUGACGUGGAAGGAUAUGAAUGUGUUUCUGAUCCUUGAAUGAAUGAGGCUGUAUGCCUCAAUGAGAUAGGAAGAUACAUCAGUGUUUGUCCUCAAGGGUAUUCUGGUGUUAACUGUGAGUUGGAUCCCAACCCCAUUUACAUGCUGCCACGUCUCAGGAUGCUUUGGGGUCUUAUAUCUGUGACUAUGUACCUAGAUUUCUUGAAGGCCACUAUGAACUCAACAUUGAUGAUGUGCCAGUAAGUCAUGUGGUCUAUGUGUGAAUGGAAGAACAAAUACUAUAGCAACUGCAAUGGUUUCAGAUUUAAAAUAGCACACUGUGAGACUUUGAUGCCUCUUAGUUGGUCAAAGACUAAUCACAAUGGUACAACAUCUGAAAGAUCUGUUGAUAAAUGUAUUUGUCACUGCUGGCCUGGAAACACAGGUACACCAUGUGAGACAUACAUAAAUAAAUGCAGUCACAACUCCUGCAAAUUUAGUGAGAAAUGUGUCAAGCUAUCCACAGAGGAUUAAUAGCAAAACAUUGCAGAUCAGUCUUAAUCCUUCAACUACCUUCAAGCCUCAGAUUAUGUUUGUUUCUGU